UAGGGAAUCUUGCACAAUGGGCGAAAGCCUGAUGCAGCGAUGCCGCGUGAGGGAUGAAGGCCUUCGGGUCGUAAACCUCUUUCAGUAGGGAAGAAGCCACGGGUAACCGUGGUGACGGUACCUGCAGAAGAAGCCCCGGCUAACUACGUGCCAGCAGCCGCGGUAAAACGUAGGGGGCAAGCGUUGCCCGGAUUCACUGGGCGUAAAGCGCGUGUAGGCGGUCCGUCAAGUCGGGUGUGAAAUCUCGAGGCUCAACCUCGAAAUCGCAUCCGAUACUGGCGGACUUGAGGACGGUAGAGGUCGGUGGAAUUCCCGGUGUACCGGUGAAAUGGGCAGAUAUCGGGAGGAACACCAGUGGCGAAGGCGGCCGACUGGGCCGAUCCUGACGCUGAGACGCGAAAGCCAGGGGAGCGAACCG
This 418-nucleotide ribosomal RNA is filed under the name uncultured bacterium. RNAcentral's name for it is "bacterial SSU rRNA". It matches the Rfam family "Bacterial small subunit ribosomal RNA", at positions 355 to 775 of the family's 1533-position model. The record is from RNAcentral.